RNAcentral lists this ribosomal RNA (244 nucleotides) under Clostridium botulinum. RNAcentral's name for it is "partial 23S ribosomal RNA". It matches the Rfam family "Bacterial large subunit ribosomal RNA", at positions 1336 to 1573 of the family's 2925-position model. Lineage: Bacteria; Bacillati; Bacillota; Clostridia; Eubacteriales; Clostridiaceae. The record is from RNAcentral.
UUAUUGGCCGAAAACCUAAGGUUUCCUGGGGAAGGUUCGUCCGCCCAGGGUUAGUCGGGACCUAAGCCGAGGCCGAAAGGCGUAGGUGAUGGACAAUCGGUUGAUAUUCCGAUACCGCCUAUUUACGGUUGAGAAAUGGGGUGACGCAGUAGGAUAAGAUGUGCGCACUAUUGGAUGUGCGUCUAAGCACUUAGGCAUGCUUGAUAGGCAAAUCCGUCGAGCUAAGCUGAGGUGUGAUGGGGAG